RNAcentral lists this ribosomal RNA (370 nucleotides) under uncultured bacterium. RNAcentral's name for it is "bacterial SSU rRNA". It matches the Rfam family "Bacterial small subunit ribosomal RNA", at positions 527 to 896 of the family's 1533-position model. The record is from RNAcentral.
GUAGGGUCCAAGCGUUAAUCGGAAUUACUGGGCGUAAAGCGUGCGUAGGCGGUCUCACAAGUCCGAUGUGAAAUCCCCGGGCUUAACCUGGGAACUGCGUUGGAAACUAUGAGGCUCGAGUGCGGCAGAGGGGGGUGGAAUUCCAGGUGUAGCAGUGAAAUGCGUAGAGAUCUGGAGGAACACCGAUGGCGAAGGCAGCCCCCUGGGUCAGCACUGACGCUCAUACACGAAAGCGUGGGGAGCAAACAGGAUUAGAUACCCUGGUAGUCCACGCCCUAAACUAUGGCAACUAGUUGUUGGAGGAUGAACUCCUUUAGUAACGCAGCUAACGCGUGAAGUUGCCCGCCUGGGGAGUACGGUCGCAAGAUUA